UACGAAGGGGGCUAGCGUUGCUCGGAAUCACUGGGCGUAAAGCGCGCGCAGGCGGCUCGGAAAGUCGGGUGUGAAAACUCGGGGCUCAACCCCGGGCGUGCAUCCGAUACUGCCGGGCUUGAGGCAGGUAGGGGAGAUCGGAAUUCCUGGUGUAGCGGUGAAAUGCGCAGAUAUCAGGAGGAACACCGGUGGCGAAGGCGGAUCUCUGGGCCUGUCCUGACGCUGAGGCGCGAAAGCUAGGGGAGCGAACAGG
RNAcentral lists this ribosomal RNA (253 nucleotides) under uncultured bacterium. RNAcentral's name for it is "partial 16S ribosomal RNA". It matches the Rfam family "Bacterial small subunit ribosomal RNA", at positions 524 to 776 of the family's 1533-position model. The record is from RNAcentral.